CCUACGGGGGACAGCAGUGGGGGAUAUUGCACAAUGGGGGGAACCCUGAUGCAGCGACGCCGCGUGUGGGAAGACGGUCCUCUGGAUUGUAAACCACUGUCCCCAGGGACGAAAAUGACGGUACCUGGGGGGGAAGCUCGGGCCAACUACGUGCCGGCAGCCGCGGUAAUACGUAGGGAGCGCGGGUUGUCCGGAAUUACUGGGUGUAAAGGGAGCGUAGGCGGGGAUGCAAGUUGGGUGUCAAAACUACCGGCUCAACUGGUAGUCGCACUCAAAACUGCAGCUCUUGAGUGAAGUAGAGGCAGGCGGAAUUCCUAGUGUAGCGGUGAAAUGCGUAGAUAUUAGGAGGAACACCAGUGGCGAAGGCGGCCUGCUGGACGACAACUGACGGUGAGGCGCGAAAGCGUGGGGAGCAAACAGGAUUAGAUACCCGAGUAGUC
Molecule: ribosomal RNA, 440 nt
Filed under: uncultured bacterium
Lineage: Bacteria
Description: partial 16S ribosomal RNA
Rfam family: Bacterial small subunit ribosomal RNA
Source: RNAcentral